ACGAGUUCUGAUUAUUGAAAGGUGCUUGCAUCUUGAUUUAAUUUUGAACGAGUGGCGGACGGGUGAGUAACACGUGGGUAACCUGCCCUUAAGUGGGGGAUAACAUUUGGAAACAGAUGCUAAUACCGCAUAAAUCCAAGAACCGCAUGGUUCUUGGCUGAAAGAUGGCGUAAGCUAUCGCUUUUGGAUGGACCCGCGGCGUAUUAGCUAGUUGGUGAGGUAACGGCUCACCAAGGCAAUGAUACGUAGCCGAACUGAGAGGUUGAUCGGCCACAUUGGGACUGAGACACGGCCCAAACUCCUACGGGAGGCAGCAGUAGGGAAUCUUCCACAAUGGACGCAAGUCUGAUGGAGCAACGCCGCGUGAGUGAAGAAGGCUUUCGGGUCGUAAAACUCUGUUGUUGGAGAAGAAUGGUCGGCAGAGUAACUGUUGUCGGCGUGACGGUAUCCAACCAGAAAGCCACGGCUAACUACGUGCCAGCAGCCGCGGUAAUACGUAGGUGGCAAGCGUUAUCCGGAUUUAUUGGGCGUAAAGCGAGCGCAGGCGGUUUUUUAAGUCUGAUGUGAAAGCCCUCGGCUUAACCGAGGAAGUGCAUCGGAAACUGGGAAACUUGAGUGCAGAAGAGGACAGUGGAACUCCAUGUGUAGCGGUGAAAUGCGUAGAUAUAUGGAAGAACACCAGUGGCGAAGGCGGCUGUCUGGUCUGUAACUGACGCUGAGGCUCG
Molecule: ribosomal RNA, 725 nt
Filed under: Lacticaseibacillus rhamnosus
Lineage: Bacteria; Bacillati; Bacillota; Bacilli; Lactobacillales; Lactobacillaceae
Description: bacterial SSU rRNA
Rfam family: Bacterial small subunit ribosomal RNA
Source: RNAcentral